RNAcentral lists this long non-coding RNA (478 nucleotides) under Lathyrus oleraceus (garden pea). RNAcentral describes it as "Pisum sativum (pea) long non-coding RNA (PSAT_LNC002532)". Lineage: Eukaryota; Viridiplantae; Streptophyta; Magnoliopsida; Fabales; Fabaceae. The record is from RNAcentral.
AAAUACUAUGGGCUCAGGCUCAGAGUUCGUGUUGCUACCCUCGUAACUGUGUUCAAUCUUUUAAUCAGGAGGUUUUUCUUUUGGGCACCGUUCUUGUUGGGAUUCAUUGGUUCUUAUUUAUUUUCUUCUUUUUAUUUCUCUUUUGAGCAUGCUUUUUUUCCAACCUCAAUUCUUCUAGAUAAGUGCUUCAUGAUACUUCUCAUAAUUUUUUCAUUUCUCUUUCUUUUUUUUUCUUUGAUGUUUCGUGGCUUUUCUCAUUUUUCUGCACUUAUCUACUCUUCAUCGGUGUCCCAAAAUUUUGAUGAAACCCCAAACUUAGGAUUUUCCAAAGAUUCGGGGUAAACAUCACUUAUCUAAGCAAGGUGUGGUAGUGUUUGGGCUUACAGUUAUUUACAGUGGUUAAACAACAACCAAAAGGAUGUAUGGCUCGAAUUGGGUGAACAAAGGGUAAUACUUGAAGGUUGGCUGGAAAGGUUCA